CGGAUCCGCGCCGCUGCAGAGUUUGAUCCUGGCUCAGGAUGAACGCUAGCGGCAGGCUUAACACAUGCAAGUCGAGGGGCAGCGGGUGUAGCAAUACAUGCCGGCGACCGGCGCAAGGGUGCGUAACGCGUGAGCAAUCUGCCCGUAUCAGGGGGAUAAGCGAUGGAAACGUCGUCUAAUACCGCAUAACACAUUGGAUGGCAUCGUCCGAUGUUGAAAGCUUCGGUGGAUACGGAUGAGCUCGCGAGACAUUAGUUAGUUGGCGGGGUAACGGCCCACCAAGACCGCGAUGUCUAGGGGAACUGAGAGGUUGGUCCCCCACACUGGAACUGAGACACGGUCCAGACUCCUACGGGAGGCAGCAGUGAGGAAUAUUGGACAAUGGCCGGAAGGCUGAUCCAGCCAUGCCGCGUGAAGGAUAAGGUCCUAUGGAUUGUAAACUUCUUUUGAGAGGGAGCAAUAAGGUGUACGCGUACACCGAUGAGAGUACCUUUCGAAUAAGCAUCGGCUAACUCCGUGCCAGCAGCCGCGGUAAUACGGAGGAUGCGAGCGUUAUCCGGAUUUAUUGGGUUUAAAGGGUGCGUAGGCGGUUUAUCAAGUCAGCGGUGAAACGCAAGGGCUUAACCCUUGACCUGCCGUUGAAACUGGUGGACUGGAAUGCGGAUGCUGUGGGAGGAAUGUGUGGUGUAGCGGUGAAAUGCAUAGAUAUCACACAGAACACCGAUUGCGAAGGCAUCUCACAAAUCCGUGAUUGACGCUGAGGCACGAAAGUGUGGGGAUCAAACAGGAUUAGAUACCCUGGUAGUCCACACUGUAAACGAUGAUGACUCGCUGUCGGCGAUAUACAGUCGGUGGCCAAGCGAAAGCGAUAAGUCAUCCACCUGGGGAGUACGACCGCAAGGUUGAAACUCAAAGGAAUUGACGGGGGCCCGCACAAGCGGAGGAACAUGUGGUUUAAUUCGAUGAUACGCGAGGAACCUUAC
Molecule: ribosomal RNA, 983 nt
Filed under: uncultured bacterium
Lineage: Bacteria
Description: bacterial SSU rRNA
Rfam family: Bacterial small subunit ribosomal RNA
Source: RNAcentral